UACAGAGGUCUCAAGCGUUGUUCGGAUUCAUUGGGCGUAAAGGGUGCGUAGGCGGCGCGGUAAGUCGGGUGUGAAAUCUCGGAGCUUAACUCCGAAACUGCAUUCGAUACUGCCGUGCUUGAGGACUGGAGAGGAGACUGGAAUUUACGGUGUAGCGGUGAAAUGCGUAGAUAUCGUAAGGAAGACCAGUGGCGAAGGCGGGUCUCUGGACAGUUCCAUGACGCUGAGGCACGAAGGUCAGGGGAGCAAACGGG
RNAcentral lists this ribosomal RNA (254 nucleotides) under uncultured bacterium. RNAcentral describes it as "partial 16S ribosomal RNA". It matches the Rfam family "Bacterial small subunit ribosomal RNA", at positions 524 to 776 of the family's 1533-position model. The record is from RNAcentral.